Taeniopygia guttata (zebra finch) is the source of this 5152-nucleotide long non-coding RNA. NCBI's taxonomy places the organism in Eukaryota, Metazoa, Chordata, Aves, Passeriformes, Estrildidae. The record is from Ensembl.
UCUUGCCACCACAGGUGAGGUGCCUCAGGGCUGUAGUGAACUUCUCCUGGCUGGGAGGUUGUCCCUCAGCUGCUCCGAGGUCACUUCUGGUGUUCCUGCCCAGACUUUGAGGCUGCUGUGGCUGCCAGGGCAGGGGAUGGGAAUGGGGCUGGCUCUGCCAGGUGCCACAUUUGUCACACCAGCACAGGGCUGGGAGGGCCUGUGGCUGCUUCCAGUGUGAAAAAUGCAGUGAGAUUUGUUGGGAGGUUGCAGGAAUAGCCAGCGGCUCGAGGAGGUGGGGUAGAAAUUAAAGAUAAAGAAGAAAUUUCAGCUCAUUGGCAGGACACAUAUUUUUCCAAUAUAAAAGCAAAUGGGGGAACCCUUAAAUAAAUUGACUCUAUAAAAACGUCCCUUUGUAUUACCACCUCACCUUUUCAGGGGGAAAACACCAAGGUUUAUUCUCAUGGAUCCAGAAUAAAAAUAUCAGGGCUGCUUUGUAAUUUGCCAGAGCCAGCAGGCAGUCCAGAGCUAUUUAAAACCCACAGGCCCCCCUCGGCACCCAGCGCCCGCCCGGCUGCAGGAGCAGCUGCCAUGGAAUUACAAGUCCUCGUCACAAGUGAGGAGAAACAAGUUGUGGCAUUUAGGAAAGGUCUGCAAAAAUAGGUGUCAGACCUUAACUAAUAGUGAUUGUCCUUCCAUUCUGCUGUAAUUUACAUUUAAUUCACACAUUUCAUUUCCAUUUAAAAUAUGAUUACAGUGUUUUGAAGCACAUCUCACCUGUCCCCUCCGAUUAGGGUGGGAUGGAAAUAACACGGAGCAGCAGGAGCCAGGCUGGGCUUGGCUGCAGGAUGGGAAACACACGGCGCUUCCAAAGCCAGGAGCGCUUCCAAAAACACCUCCCGAGCAGGGGCAGAGGGGCAGACAGACAGACACAGCCCUGCCCCACCUUCCUGCUGCUCCCACAGGGCUUUAAGCACCAGCUGAAAAGGUUUCACACCAUCCACCAGCUCCAGGCCCCAUCCAGCCUGGCCUUGGGUGCUCCCAGGGAUGGAUGAGGCAGCCAGGGCUUCACUGCCCUCCCAGGGGAGAAUUCCCCUCCUCCUGCACAGGCCUUCCAGAGGAUUUUUUUGAGCACAAAAAGUCCUGGUUCAGAAAUAAAUCAGGCAGGCCCUCCCCAGCCCGUGCUCAGCCCGCCCCCGGAGCGCCGCAAAGGCAGGAAGGCGCUGAUUAAUAUCUGCUACGUGUAGGGGAAAACAACAACCCCGUAAACAGUAUUAUUAACCCAUGGGCUGGCAAUAAAUCAGUGUGAGAAGGUGACCUCAGCAAUGCUGGAGUAAUCCUGUGUGUCAGGGUAAAUUUAUGAGGCCAAUUUUAUUGGCCUGUAUGACCCAGGCUCCUUGGAGAUGUCUCAGUAACAAAUCCAAUCCAUAUCAUUUAUUAGCUUUGCACAGUGUCAGCUCCGAGCACGGGAGGGAUCCCAUUAAAUCCUAUUGCUCCCUCUGCCAACCGUGGGCACAAAUAAGCUGUGGGAUAAUUGCUGGCUGCCAGGAGCCCCCAUUGAGGAAUCUGCUUUUGGACCCUUGCAGCUUCCCAGGCUGGAAGCGCCGGCGUUGGGUUUGGCCAUCGCGCCCUCGCCCUGCCUCGCCUGUGCUGGGCUGGCCGUGGGACAGGGGUGACAGAGGUGGGGACAGAGGUCUCCUCCUGCACCUCCCAGGUGCUGGACGAGGCUCUGGUGACCCUGGGAGCUGCUGCUGGGCCAGGGAAGGUGCAGGGUCCCAGCUGAAGGGACCUCGUGAACAGAUCUCUGGCGGGCGAGGGGCACACAAAGGGAUUUCAGAGCUGUUGGUGGCUGAAACUCCUCCCUCCAACAGGGAAGGGAGGCUCUGGCUGGGCCCUGCAGGCAGAGGCCAAAAAUCCUCCAUUUGGGGGCACUUGGGGACCUGGUGGUGACGUGUGUGUGGUGCCAAGCGCCCUGCUGGUGACAGGAGCAGUUGUGCCUUGGCAGCAGCACCUCUGGGUCCGGUCCCUGUGGCCAAGCAGGGCCUGGUGGAGCAGUUUGAGGCUGUUUGACUGUCCCUGUCAUCAUAAGGUUUACGGAUGGUUAAUUUAUUCUUUAUAGCACAGUCAUUGAUGGCUGUUAAAUCACAAAUGAGAGCCAAUAAAGGGUGAAUUGCAGCUGAAAUUACACUGUUUAUAUGACAGCAGAGUGCUGGCUAAAAGAUUCAUAUGCCGCUGAUGAAGUACGUUAUAAAUUUUAAUUACCAUAGUUUGUACAAAUGACAUGUUUGAAAUGCUAUUGAGUAAUGUGACCCUGAUAAUGAAACUAUAAAAUAAAUCAUUAACUUUCUGAAUGAGCUUUUUUAUUUCCAUGCUACAUGAAGUAAACUUUCCAAUUUAUUCCAUUGCAGACUUCUUCUGAAAAAAAAGUGCAGAAAAAAGAGUCACAAACCUCCCCUCCACUCUGAGGGACGCUGUCAAGCAAAGCAAAGGAGGGAUGAGUGGGACCAUGCUGGAAAGGAUGUCAGAAGAGUGGCCAAAGCCAGGCAAAGCCCUCAGAGUGCCUGGUUAAUGCGGGAUGAUGCCGUGCUCCUGCAGCUAUAGCCAGCUUAGCUGAGCGAGUGCAGAGAUAAGAGCAAGGCUCGAGAACCAGCUCCGAAGAGCCAUAAAAACCAUGGGCACAGAAGAGAGAAAAUCUCCAUUAAAGCCAGGCUGUGAUUAUAACUGGCUGGCUGGCCAGGGCUCUGCAGCCCGAGCUGCUGGACAGGGCCCUGCUCUCCCCAGGGAGCUCCCAGCUCUGCCCGAGCUUUGGGGCCGGAGCUUUGGAGCCUGAGCCCUGACGGUUCCACCCAGCAGCUGAGAUAAUUCCCUGGAUGGGAGCAAGGAGCUGAGCUGCAGCCCAGGGAGGAUUUCUCAGGAGCCUCCCCAGGGAAGGAAGCGCAGGCCGGGCGCUCACUGACCAUCGAGACAAGGGGAUGUUCUAAACCCUCUGGAAGGCACUGGAAUCAGGUUUUUACCUUAUUGCAUUGCCAUACAUUGUUUUUUAAGGGAUACAGGGCAUGGAACAAGAUGGGAGUGUGCCAGAGGUUCAUUCCCACCCCUCUGCAGAGGGUGUUCCAAAGCACUGUGUCCCCUGGUCCUGUGUGCCCACACUGACCCAUCCCAGAGCAGGAGCAAAGGGCUCCUCCUUCCCCUCAACCUCCACCAGAAAAUCCACCAGCUCUGGGGCUCUGCCCCCUCGCCAGCACCGCUGGCUUCUUCCUCAUCCUUGGUUAACCUUUAAUUAGGAGCCUGUUCUUUGCCCACCUCGGGCUGGGUGUGAGCCUCUCCUGCUCCCCAGCUCCCCACACUGUCAGCGAGCAGCACACCUGUGUCCCAGGGCAGACAAAAGGUGGCAGAGGGACUCUCCAAAUAAUCCUUGGGAAGGAGGGGGAAGGGGCCCCGUGACAUUUCCAGCCACGGGGAUGCAGCGGAAUGGUGCAGGUCAGGCACCGUGCAGGGCUCGGGCUGCAGGAGAUGAGGUCAUUUCUGACCCUUAACGAGGUUUGUGGUUCUUGGUGCAGAGCUAGAGAUGGAUCUCAAACCUCAACCUCCCUGUGUGCCAGGGAGUCCUUGUCCACGGGAGCCGUGGUGAAUCCCUGGCUGGGUGCCCCUAAGUCAGGCAGGGAGUGUUUGCCAGUGGGGCGGGCAGCGUGGGCACCCACUGCCACCAUGGCACAAGCCACAGCCACCCCCAGCCCCCUGGGCAGGCCUCAAUGGCUCUGUGUCCUCCCCAGCAGUGUUUGGAGCUCAGGACUGUAACGCCCACUUUUGUCUUAUCAGCCACACUGAAAAUAUUCCCAAGCAGGCUGCUCAUGCCGCACUACUUACCAUUAAAAGAAAGGACCACAUUAUUGCUGUUAUAAACCAUUGAUUAAGGUUUAUAAUAGCAAUAAUCCCCUCGAAAUUCAUUGUUACUGCAGUUAAUGACCAGUUUAUUAGAGCGUUAACCAUCCUUGGCAAUGGGCUGAGUCGUUUAAUGCUGGUAACGACCAAUUUCUCAAGGGUUAUUGCUUAAAUAACAAGCCUUUGUUAGAUAUAUGUUCCCCCACCAGAUACUGCUCCAGCUGGAACCUUCUCCUGUGAAAUAAUUGUUAAUUAUUUCCUCCAAGUUUUGCCGCCAUGUCUCAAAGUUUUCGGUGGGAAGGGCUGCCGAAGGCACAGAGUGCCAGAGAUGCUCAGAGCUGAGGCUGGCUGAUGUGAGAGGACACAGCCAGAGACGCUGGAGCCGUCGCUGAGGGCUGUGGGAGCUGUGCUUGGGGAGGUUUUUUCCCUCUUCUGCUACCCAGGAGUGUUCCAGCCCUGGGCAGGGCCACGCCCGGAGCACCGGCUCAAGCUGGGAUCAGGGAAUGUCCAAGGAUGAGCCCCGGGCUCCCGGGCACUGCCACAAGCCACCCGAGCAGGGUGAGAGCCACCAGAGCUGUGCCUCGCUCUCCUCUUACAUUAAUUAGAUCCGAGCGUCUCACGGCGCUAACGAGGUCCCAUCGUGUCACAUCUGUGCCAUCCCUCCAACAGCGCUCCCAGGCCUGACACCACACGAGAGGCACAGACAUGGCUACCCUUUAAUUGUGUCAUACUAAAAAAUAAAUACUGAAACAGCACCGGGCUGACACGGAGCCACGGCAGGUCCCGGCAGCGGGAUCGGACCCGCGGCUCCCGGCUCCAGCCCGCUGCCAGGCCCGGCUGCUCACCAGGAAAUCGUGGGAAGGGGAUGCCCUGGUGGGCUUCCAGCAGUGCUUCCCUGCUGCCAGAUGUGCAGGGAAACCCCUGCCCUGGGCACAGCCCCCUGCCCUGGGCACAGCCCCCAGGGGCUGGCAGGCGUCUGUGGGGUGGGACAGGCUACACUGCCGUGAUCCCCUCAGCCCCAGCACCUCACCCUCUCUCCAGCUGCCUCUAACAGCCUUUUGGAUUUGGCUGUGCCAAAGAGCAAGUCCCUGCAGCUCCCUCAGAAAAGUUACUUUUCCAUAGCAAAUUAAAUUUUAGGCUUUCCUCUCUCUUGUUAAGAAACACAAAGAAAAUCUUGAUUUGAGGAAUUGGUUGAAGUCUGAGCGGUGUUAGGGUUGGUUUUGGUGCUUGCCUCCCUCCUUUUACUCUUUGUUCCCACGUUUGUGGGGUCUUCGAGGUGUCAUUGGAAAAA